Molecule: ribosomal RNA, 754 nt
Filed under: Agrocybe praecox
Lineage: Eukaryota; Fungi; Basidiomycota; Agaricomycetes; Agaricales; Agrocybaceae
Description: eukaryotic LSU rRNA
Rfam family: Eukaryotic large subunit ribosomal RNA
Source: RNAcentral
CCCUAGUAACUGCGAGUGAAGCGGGAAAAGCUCAANUUUAAAAUCUGGCGGUCUCUGGCCGUCCGAGUUGUAAUCUAGAGAAGUGUUAUCCGCGCUGGACCGUGUACAAGUCUCCUGGAAUGGAGCGUCAUAGAGGGUGAGAAUCCCGUCUUUGACACGGACUGCCAGGGCUUUGUGAUGCGCUCUCAAAGAGUCGAGUUGUUUGGGAAUGCAGCUCCAAAUGGGUGGUAAAUUCCAUCUAAAGCUAAAUAUUGGCGAGAGACCGAUAGCGAACAAGUACCGUGAGGGAAAGAUGAAAAGAACUUUGGAAAGAGAGUUAAACAGUACGUGAAAUUGCUGAAAGGGAAACGCUUGAAGUCAGUCGCGUUGACCGGGAAUCAACCUUGCUUUUGCUGGGCGUACUUUCCGGUCGACGGGUCAGCAUCAAUUUUGACCGUUGGAUAAAGUCUAGAGGAAUGUGGCAUCUUCGGGUGUGUUAUAGCCUCUGGUCGCAUACAACGGUUGGGAUUGAGGAACUCAGCACGCCGCAAGGCCGGGUACUCGUACCACGUUCGUGCUUAGGAUGCUGGCAUAAUGGCUUUAAUCGACCCGUCUUGAAACACGGACCAAGGAGUCUAACAUGCCUGCGAGUGUUUGGGUGGAAAACCCGAGCGCGUAAUGAAAGUGAAAGUUGAGAUCCCUGUCGCGGGGAGCAUCGACGCCCGGACCAGACCUUUUGUGACGGUCCCGCGGUAGAGCAUGUAUGUUGGGACCC